RNAcentral lists this ribosomal RNA (442 nucleotides) under uncultured bacterium. Its description in RNAcentral is "partial 16S ribosomal RNA". It matches the Rfam family "Bacterial small subunit ribosomal RNA", at positions 338 to 795 of the family's 1533-position model. The record is from RNAcentral.
CCUACGGGAGGCAGCAGUAGGGAAUCUUGCACAAUGGGCGAAAGCCUGAUGGAGCAACGCCGCGUGCAGGAUGAAGGCCUUCGGGUUGUAAACUGCUUUUAUAAGCGAGAAAUAUGAUGGUAACUUAUGAAUAAGGAUCGGCUAACUACGUGCCAGCAGCCGCGGUCAUACGUAGGAUCCGAGCAUUAUCCGGAGUGACUGGGUGUAAAGAGUUGCGUAGGUGGCAUUAUAAGUAGCUAGUGAAAUCGGGUGGCUCAACCAUUCAGACUAUUAGCUAAACUGUUAAGCUCGAGACCGUUAGGGGUAACUGGAAUUUCUAGUGUAGGAGUGAAAUCCGUAGAUAUUAGGAGGAACACCAAUGGCGUAGGCAGGUUACUGGGACGGUUCUGACACUAAGGCACGAAAGCGUAGGGAGCAAACAGGAUUAGAUACCCGGGUAGUC